GAUGAACGCUGGCGGCGUGCCUAAUACAUGCAAGUCGAGCGAACAGACGAGGAGCUUGCUCCUCUGACGUUAGCGGCGGACGGGUGAGUAACACGUGGAUAACCUACCUAUAAGACUGGUAUAACUUCGGGACACCGGAUCUAAUACCGGAUAAUAUAUUGAACCGCAUGGUUCAAUAGUGAAAGACGGUUUUGCUGUCUCUUCUCGAUGGAUCCGCGCCGCAUUAGCUAGUUGGUAAGGUAACGGCUUACCAAGGCAACCAGGCGUAGACGACCGGAGAGGGUGAUCGGCCACACGGGAACUGAGACACGGUCCAGACUCCUACGGUAGGCAGCAGUAGGGAAUCUGCCGCAAUGGGCGAAAGCUUGACGGAGCAACGACGCGUGAGUGAUGAAGGUCUUCGGAGCGUAAAACUCUGUUAUUAGGGAAGAACAAAUGUGUAAGUAACUAUGCACGGCUUGACGGUACCUAAUCAGAAAGCCACGGCUAACUACGUG
RNAcentral lists this ribosomal RNA (497 nucleotides) under uncultured bacterium. RNAcentral describes it as "partial 16S ribosomal RNA". It matches the Rfam family "Bacterial small subunit ribosomal RNA", at positions 28 to 507 of the family's 1533-position model. The record is from RNAcentral.